AUUGAACGCUGGCGGCAGGCUUAACACAUGCAAGUCGAGCGGUAACAGAGAGAAGCUUGCUUCUCUGCUGACGAGCGGCGGACGGGUGAGCAAUGCCUAGGAAUCUGCCUAGUAGUGGGGGAUAACUUGCCGAAAGGUAAGCUAAUACCGCAUACGUCCUACGGGAGAAAGGAGGGGACCUUCGGGCCUUUCGCUAUUAGAUGAGCCUAGGUCGGAUUAGUUAGUUGGUGAGGUAAUGGCUCACCAAGACCGCGAUCCGUAACUGGUCUGAGAGGAUGAUCAGUCACACUGGAACUGAGACACGAUCCAGACUCCUACGGGAGGCAGCAGUGGGGAAUAUUGGACAAUGGGGGGAACCCUGAUCCAGCCAUGCCGCGUGUGUGAAGAAGGUCUUAGGAUUGUAAAGCACUUUAAGUUGGGAGGAAGAGCAGUUAACUAAUAUUUGACUGUUUUGACGUUACCGACAGAAUAAGCACCGGCUAACUUCGUGCCAGCCGCCGCGGUAA
RNAcentral lists this ribosomal RNA (506 nucleotides) under uncultured bacterium. RNAcentral's name for it is "partial 16S ribosomal RNA". It matches the Rfam family "Bacterial small subunit ribosomal RNA", at positions 30 to 523 of the family's 1533-position model. The record is from RNAcentral.